RNAcentral lists this ribosomal RNA (458 nucleotides) under uncultured bacterium. RNAcentral's name for it is "partial 16S ribosomal RNA". It matches the Rfam family "Bacterial small subunit ribosomal RNA", at positions 338 to 795 of the family's 1533-position model. The record is from RNAcentral.
CCUACGGGGGGCAGCAGUGGGGAAUAUUGCACAAUGGGGGAAACCCUGAUGCAGCGACGCCGCGUGAGUGAAGAAGUAUUUCGGUAUGUAAAGCUCUAUCAGCAGGGAAGAAAUAGCGACCUUUGGGUCGCCAGACGGUACCUGAUUAAGAAGCCCCGGCUAACUACGUGCCAGCAGCCGCGGUAAUACGGUGGGGGCAAGCGUUAGCCGGAGUUACUGGGUGUAAAGGGAGCGUAGACGGCAGCGUAAGUCUGAAGUGAAAUGCCGGGGCUUAACCCCGGAACUGCUUUGGAAACUGUGCAGCUAGAGUGCAGGAGAGGUAAGUGGAAUUCCUAGUGUAGCGGUGAAAUGCGUAGAUAUUAGGAGGAACACCAGUGGCGAAGGCGGCUUACUGGACUGUAACUGACGUUGAGGCUCGAAAGCGUGGGGAGCAAACAGGAUUAGAUACCCCUGUAGUC